This 362-nucleotide long non-coding RNA is filed under the name Cyanistes caeruleus (blue tit). RNAcentral describes it as "lncRNA (ENSCCEG00000009339.1)". Lineage: Eukaryota; Metazoa; Chordata; Aves; Passeriformes; Paridae. The record is from RNAcentral.
CUGCUGGCUCCUGUUCAACUUGCCAUCAGCCCCAAGGACCCCCAGGUCCCUUUCUGUGGGGCUGCUCUCCAGCACAGGCAGUAGAGAAUUCAUAUGUUUAUGAAAUGCCAGAAAGCUGAAACCAGAUAAAUAUAGUGUGCAAGUUUGAAGAAGUAGGAAAUGGAAAAGGAAAGGGGGAUUAUAAACCUGACACUUAUCUUCAAUUUCCUCAAUAAUUCUGGAAGACUACCUGAAAUUGGGAGAUAAUGAAAUUAUUUUGAAGUACAGAUUAGAAUUCAACAGGUCUUAAGAGACUGAAGAUAUGAUAUGAAAAUAAGACAAAGCUUUUCAAGACAGCACAAGGUACUGUAAAUUAAUGGGAA